AUGGUCGUCAUUACUGCUGGCAGGCAGCCGGAGGACGACGACGUCCCAACGAAGGACGCGGCUGCCGACGAGCUGGCGGCACCCUCCUCCUCCGCGCCACCCUUGCCAGUGCAUUGCACCAUGACCAUCGACGAGGCACGUGCCCAUUACAAGGAUAUAGUGCGGGAAGAGCAGUUCCGAGAGGUGCAGGCCAACGCCGCCUACAACCACCAACUCCUGCAUGAGCAUCUACAGGCAGAGGGGCAGCUCUUGGCCGGCAAGGCGAUCGCGCCGAGCGCGGACUUGGCGGAGCAGGUGGCGCUGCUUGACUCCUACCGCUCCGCCUACGAGAUCCGCCUCGCCCACUGGCGGCACUGCCAGCAGGCGACGAAACUGGCGGCCGCCUACAAGGAGUGCGACGAGGCGGGCGAGGCGGUCUUCGGCGAGACCGGCGACGAGGACGACAUUGCCGGAUCCACCGAGGCCGCUGUCGGUGUCAAAACCAGCUGA
This 489-nucleotide ribosomal RNA is filed under the name Triticum aestivum (bread wheat). Its description in RNAcentral is "partial small subunit ribosomal RNA". Lineage: Eukaryota; Viridiplantae; Streptophyta; Magnoliopsida; Poales; Poaceae. The record is from RNAcentral.